RNAcentral lists this non-coding RNA (29 nucleotides) under Homo sapiens (human). The record is from RNAcentral. Lineage: Eukaryota; Metazoa; Chordata; Mammalia; Primates; Hominidae.
UNUCUACUCUGGGGCCAGGUAACCUGUUA